Non-coding RNA from Corylus avellana, 965 nucleotides. The record is from RefSeq and is a predicted model, not a curated record. NCBI's taxonomy places the organism in Eukaryota, Viridiplantae, Streptophyta, Magnoliopsida, Fagales, Betulaceae.
UGACGCCAUCCUUCUAGUUUUCUUAUUCAUGGUUUUUCACUCUCUCUGUCCCUCUGUCUCUCAGGUUGUUACUCUGUCAUUUCCGGCCAUGCAAUGGGCAUGGAAUAUUGGAAUGGAAGGGAAGGGAUAUCUUCCCAACCAAUGGGUCGAACCCUCCGCCGCACAAUCAAUGGGUGUAAUGGGUACAUGACACACCAAAUGGUAUGCACCAAUAUUUCAUCAGGGUGAUCCCUACUAUAUACACUGACAUUAGAGGCCGUAUGAUCCAGUCAAAUCAGUAUUCCGGGACAGAGCAUUUUUGGAGUUCCGAAUCGGGUUACUUUUUUCAGUCUCUUCCUGGAAUUUUCUUCUUUUAUGACAUUUCUCCAGUUAAGGUUCGUAUAUUUGUUCACAGCUAAUAGGGUAUUUGAAAGUGUGAUUUUGGAGUCUGUCAUGAAUAUUGGGGUGGUUUAGGUGUCAUUGAUGAAAGAUUAUGUUUCUUUUUCCAUUUUCACAUGUUUAGUUUUGUUUCCUUCCAGAAGAAAAAUUAUAAAUGCACAUUAUCAUAGCUGCAUCUCCACUCAUGAGAUAGUCAAACAUGGAUAAGGACCAACAAGGAGAAAAAUCUAUGGAUUCAGGGAAACUAAGGUAGAUUAAGUGUUACGAACUUAAGUUCGUAACGGGAUAAAUUAAGUUCUAAGGGAACCUAAACCUUUUAAACACAAAGUUUGAGAUUACUACUUUUUAUUCCUUUAUUCAUAGCAUAACCCCUUUAAAUGGAGGAUUCAUUACAUAUUACAUAAGAAAGUUAGGACUGAGUCAACAACUCUUAUGAGGAUUAUUAAUUGAUUUUCUGCAGGAGAAAAUUGUUGGGUAGGGAAAUCAUUGAGUCAUUUUCUUAUGAGGAUUAUUAAUUGAUGUUGUAAUUAUUAAAUUCAUGUGACUUAUUUCUUCGCAGAAUGAAUUGUGUCAAGAUUCUUAUUUCA